AACGAACGCUGGCGGCAUGCCUAACACAUGCAAGUCGAACGAGACCUUCGGGUCUUUUGGCGCACGGGUGCGUAACGCGUGGGAACCUGCCCUUAGGUUCGGAAUAACUCCCCGAAUGGGGUGCUAAUACCGGAUAAUGUCUUCGGACCAAAGAUUUAUCGCCCUUGGAUGGGCCCGCGUUGGAUUAGCUAGUUGGUAGGGUAAAAGCUUACCAAGGCGACGAUCCAUAGCUGGGCUGAGAGGAUGAUCAGCCACACUGGGACUGAGACACGGCCCAGACUCCUACGGGAGGCAGCAGUGGGGAAUAUUGGACAAUGGGCGAAAGCAUGAUGCAGCAAUGCCGCGUGAGUGAUGAAGGCAUUAGGGUUGUAAAGCUCUUUUACCCGGGAUGAUAAUGACGGUACCGGGAGAAUAAGCUCCGGCUAACUCCGUG
Molecule: ribosomal RNA, 433 nt
Filed under: uncultured bacterium
Lineage: Bacteria
Description: partial 16S ribosomal RNA
Rfam family: Bacterial small subunit ribosomal RNA
Source: RNAcentral